Molecule: long non-coding RNA, 265 nt
Filed under: Ursus maritimus (polar bear)
Lineage: Eukaryota; Metazoa; Chordata; Mammalia; Carnivora; Ursidae
Description: lncRNA (ENSUMAG00000011978.1)
Source: RNAcentral
GGCGCUCAGCCCAGGUUUGUGGGGAAAGAUGCCUCAGACACAGAGUCUUGGGGUUACCAGAUCUUCAAAGCAGCUGAGAGAAGUUAAACAGAAAUUUAGUUCAAAUGAUCAUUUUUUUACAGACUGGAUUAUGACGUUAGGGUCAUUAUAUAGCUGCUGUAAUUGAGACUGUAUGGAACUGGCAGAAGGAUAGACACACAGAUCAAUACAACAAAAUGGGGAACCCAGAAAUAGACCACACAAAUAUGCCCAACUGGUAUUUGCU